RNAcentral lists this unclassified non-coding RNA (329 nucleotides) under soil metagenome. RNAcentral describes it as "partial contains 5.8S ribosomal RNA, internal transcribed spacer 2, and large subunit ribosomal RNA". The stretch from base 1 to 120 matches the Rfam family "5.8S ribosomal RNA", at positions 35 to 154 of the family's 154-position model. The record is from RNAcentral.
GAUGAAGAACGUAGCGAAAUGCGAUAAGUAAUGUGAAUUGCAGAAUUCAGUGAAUCAUCGAAUCUUUGAACGCACAUUGCGCCCUCUGGUAUUCCGGGGGGCAUGCCUGUUCGAGCGUCAUUAUAACCACUCAAGCUCUCGCUUGGUAUUGGGGUUCGCGGUUCCGCGGCCCCUAAAAUCAGUGGCGGUGCCUGUCGGCUCUACGCGUAGUAAUACUCCUCGCGAUUGAGUCCGGCAGGUCUACUUGCCAGCAACCCCCAAUUUUUACAGGUUGACCUCGGAUCAGGUAGGGAUACCCGCUGAACUUAAGCAUAUCAAUAAGCGGAGGA